This 503-nucleotide long non-coding RNA is filed under the name Gallus gallus (chicken). Lineage: Eukaryota; Metazoa; Chordata; Aves; Galliformes; Phasianidae. The record is from RNAcentral.
UAGCACACUAAUUCGUUUGGGUGAAGUGUUUUCUUCUUGUAAUGCUCUUAAUCCUCAUGGGUGUUUGGAACAUAGGCGGGAGACUAGAAGUUCUGUGAUUAAACGAACUCGGUCAGACUGUCCUUGCAGAGGAGUUUGUUCUACUAAAUCUGACAUGGUGGGCUGGAUGACUAAAGAGGACAAGUAGCAUUUGCAUAUUUUCAAUCCAGGUGCCUGAUUCAAAUGCUCCACUGAAAGCCAUUGCUCCCGGUGGGUUUUGUAGCAGCCUUCUGGAAAUGGAACUGGGACUUUUGGUGUUAUAGUGUAAUGAUUCUGAAGAUAUUUGGUCAGCCUUCUGAGGUCUGCAGGAGGUAAUCAUUCAAUAACGGUGCUAUCAAUAAUACUUAUGAAAAAUCAAGCCUAAUGGUUGUCGGAUGGUGUUUUAUAACACUAGCAGAUAAAAACAGAAGUGCGUGCUGUGCAGGCUUCUUGAAGAAGGCUUCCAGUAUGGAAGAAGUUGAAAA